RNAcentral lists this ribosomal RNA (475 nucleotides) under uncultured bacterium. RNAcentral's name for it is "SSU rRNA". It matches the Rfam family "Bacterial small subunit ribosomal RNA", at positions 26 to 518 of the family's 1533-position model. The record is from RNAcentral.
AGGACGAACGCUGGCGGCGUGCUUAACACAUGCAAGUCGAGCGGUAAGGCCCUUCGGGGUACACGAGCGGCGAACGGGUGAGUAACACGUGGGUAACCUGCCCUGUACUGUGGGAUAAGCCUGGGAAACUGGGUCUAAUACCGCAUAUGACUGCAUCCUGCAUGGGGUGUGGUGGAAAGUUCUGGCGGUACAGGAUGGGCCCGCGGCCUAUCAGCUUGUUGGUGGGGUGAUGGCCUACCAAGGCGACGACGGGUAGCCGGCCUGAGAGGGCGACCGGCCACACUGGGACUGAGACACGGCCCAGACUCCUACGGGAGGCAGCAGUGGGGAAUCUUGCGCAAUGGGCGAAAGCCUGACGCAGCGACGCCGCGUGAGGGAUGACGGCCUUCGGGUUGUAACCUCUUUCGACCGGGACGAAGCGAGAGUGACGGUACCGGUAGAAGAAGCGACCGGCUAACUACGCGCCAGCAGCCGC